GAUGAACGCUGGCGGCGUGCCUAAUACAUGCAAGUCGAGCGAAUGGAUUAAGAGCUUGCUCUUAUGAAGUUAGCGGCGGACGGGUGAGUAACACGUGGGUAACCUGCCCAUAAGACUGGGAUAACUCCGGGAAACCGGGGCUAAUACCGGAUAACAUUUUGAACCGCAUGGUUCGAAAUUGAAAGGCGGCUUCGGCUGUCACUUAUGGAUGGACCCGCGUCGCAUUAGCUAGUUGGUGAGGUAACGGCUCACCAAGGCAACGAUGCGUAGCCGACCUGAGAGGGUGAUCGGGCACACUGGGACUGAGACACGGCCCAGACCCCUACGGGAGGCAGCAGUAGGGAAUCUUCCGCAAUGGACGAAAGGCUGACGGAGCAACGCCGCGUGAGUGAUGAAGGCUUUCGGUUCGUAAAACUCUGUUGUUAGGGAAGAACAAGUGCUAGUUGAAUAAGCUGGCACCUUGACGGUACCUAACCAGAAAGCCACGGCUAACUACGUGCCAGCAGCCGCCGUAA
Molecule: ribosomal RNA, 515 nt
Filed under: uncultured bacterium
Lineage: Bacteria
Description: partial 16S ribosomal RNA
Rfam family: Bacterial small subunit ribosomal RNA
Source: RNAcentral